Molecule: ribosomal RNA, 211 nt
Filed under: uncultured bacterium
Lineage: Bacteria
Description: partial 16S ribosomal RNA
Rfam family: Bacterial small subunit ribosomal RNA
Source: RNAcentral
AGUUCGGAUUGUAGUCUGCAACUCGACUACAUGAAGCUGGAAUCGCUAGUAAUCGCGGAUCAGAAUGCCGCGGUGAAUACGUUCCCGGGUCUUGUACACACCGCCCGUCACACCAUGGGAGUUGGGAAUGCCCGAAGCCGGUGACCUAACCGAGAGGGAGGAGCCGUCGAAGGCAGGUCUGAUGACUGGGGUGAAGUCGUAACAAGGUACC